GAUGAACGCUGGCGGCGUGCCUAAUACAUGCAAGUCGAGCGAACAGACGAGGAGCUUGCUCCUCUGACGUUAGCGGCGGACGGGUGAGUAACACGUGGAUAACCUACCUAUAAGACUGGGAUAACUUCGGGAAACCGGAGCUAAUACCGGAUAAUAUAUUGAACCGCAUGGUUCAAUAGUGAAAGACGGUUUUGCUGUCACUUAUAGAUGGAUCCGCGCCGCAUUAGCUAGUUGGUAAGGUAACGGCUUACCAAGGCAACGAUGCGUAGCCGACCUGAGAGGGUGAUCGGCCACACUGGAACUGAGACGCGGUCCAGACUCCUACGGGAGGCAGCAGUAGGGAAUCUUCCGCAAUGGGCGAAAGCCUUACGGAGCAACGCCGCGCGAGUGAUGAAGGUCUUCGGAUCGUAAAACUCUGUUAUUGGGGAAGAACAAAUGUGUAAGUAACUAUGCACGUCUUGACGGUACCUAAUCAGAAAGCCACGGCUAACUACGUG
Molecule: ribosomal RNA, 497 nt
Filed under: uncultured bacterium
Lineage: Bacteria
Description: partial 16S ribosomal RNA
Rfam family: Bacterial small subunit ribosomal RNA
Source: RNAcentral